UAAGUUGGACAAAACUAAAAAAUUUAAAUUUUUAAAAUGAUGGAUUGGAUAUGAAUUGAGUUAAAUUAGCAUCCAAUCCACAUACAUAUGGAUUGGAUUUAGAUUGAGUUUCACCAAUCUGUGGAUUGGAUUGAAUUGAAUUGAAAAUUUAUAGUUCGUAAAAUUGUGGAUCGGAUAUGGAUUUAUGUCUAAUCCGUAAAAUCCGAUCCACAAACACCCCUACUACCUAUGCUAUUUUACCAUAAUAUUUUAGUUAUUAACUAU
RNAcentral lists this long non-coding RNA (264 nucleotides) under Citrus x clementina. RNAcentral describes it as "Citrus clementina (C. clementina) long non-coding RNA (CCLE_LNC003329)". Lineage: Eukaryota; Viridiplantae; Streptophyta; Magnoliopsida; Sapindales; Rutaceae. The record is from RNAcentral.